Molecule: unclassified non-coding RNA, 224 nt
Filed under: uncultured bacterium
Lineage: Bacteria
Description: contains 16S-23S intergenic spacer region
Rfam family: Bacterial small subunit ribosomal RNA
Source: RNAcentral
AAGGCUUGACAUGGGACAGACCGUACGAGAGAUCGUGCUUCUCCAGCAAUGGAGCUGUCCACACAGGUGCUGCAUGGCUGUCGUCAGCUCGUGUCGUGAGAUGUUGGGUUAAGUCCCGCAACGAGCGCAACCCCCGUUUCUAGUUGCCAUCAUUCAGUUGGGCCCUCUAGAGAGACUGCCGCGAAUAACGCGGAGGAAGGUGGGGAUGACGUUUACGUGCACUU